UAUUAUUUUUGAAUGUGAAAGAAGGUCUUGCAUAUUCUUUAGGGCCUUGUUCUAUGGAGUGUGCAGCCAUCACAUAUCCUAUUCAGAUGCUAGAUUUAGAGCGCGACAGUUGGUCUGUGAACAUCGAAAAGAAAGGUGGAAGGAAUAUUUUCAAAUCCCUCCAAAAUAAAAAUUUCUCUUAACAUGGGAAAGAAGGAGAUCUUCUGUUUUCGAGAAAAAACAAAAAGAAAAAAAAAGAAAGUGUGGGGAGGA
RNAcentral lists this long non-coding RNA (252 nucleotides) under Elaeis guineensis (African oil palm). Its description in RNAcentral is "long non-coding RNA (EGUI_LNC032604)". The record is from RNAcentral. Lineage: Eukaryota; Viridiplantae; Streptophyta; Magnoliopsida; Arecales; Arecaceae.